Molecule: long non-coding RNA, 1106 nt
Filed under: Helianthus annuus (common sunflower)
Lineage: Eukaryota; Viridiplantae; Streptophyta; Magnoliopsida; Asterales; Asteraceae
Description: hypothetical non coding rna
Source: RNAcentral
UUGUGUGAGCCUUGAUCGACCAAACAUCCCUGUACAAACACUUCUCUUCUUAAACCCUAAAUUCAUCCAUCUACAUCAAAAAUCAAAGAAAGAAAUCAAGUUUGAAUCAAAUUCAAGUGAAAUUAGUGAUCAUUAUACUUAGGAAGAUCACAAGGUAUGUUUAAAUUGAUAUUUGGAGAUGUUUGAUUCUACAUGAAUUUUCAUAACUUUGAUUUUUGAAUGGAAAUUUGAUGUCUACACGAUUACAAGUCUAAGAAUAAGUCUUAGACAAGAAAUUGAUAAAUUCAUGCCAUAAUCUAUUGAUUUCAAUGUUGAUCAUAUAGGUGUUAUAUGGGUUUUUUCAAGUGUUGUUCAUGGUAUUCUUGUCAUAUGAAUAUAAAGCGAUGAGUGUCUCUAAUGAAACCAAACGGGUCAAAACAACCAAAGUAAUGAAGCUUUGGUGAAAUAAAGCGAGGGAUUUCGCUAAGAUAGAUAAACGGGUCAAAUGGAUAUCUUGAUGCAACCGGAAAGGUUGCAUGAUUAAAGAUGUCGAAAUGAUGCCGGAUUUUAAUUAAUAAAUAUUAUAGUCGUUAGCCGAGAAACGGUUAACGAUGAAUAUAAGUCAUAAACUCUGGUUUGAGUAUGAUUAAAAGAUGGCGAAUUCAAAUUAUAGGAUUCGUGUUAAAUUCAUGUAAGUAAGUAAGGUUGAACGGGUCGAAUAGCAGUAGUUUAGUUUAUAUUAUGUAAUGUAAUGUAUAAUAGUAGUUAGCAUAGCAGAAGUUGUAUAGAUCAGAUGUUAGAGUUUGUUAGGAGGUUAGAUAUCACUUUCAUGGUGACGUAAGCUUAGAUGCUUCAGUGGUUUGUCCGUGCCUAUAAAUAGAACAGUACCCUGUACUGUUCUAUUAGCUCUUCACCAUCUUUCUUCCUGCACGAACAAAUCAUUGUGAGCUGAGGCUGAGGGGGAGUUUGUUACAUACUUGCAAUUGUAAUCGGUGUUUGGAAUAAAUUUAAGCAUUCGGUUCAAUGUUAAACUUGUAUGUUCAAAGCAAUUCUCCUAUUUGAUUGUGUGCAAAGUUUGUAAUCAUUUAUAUUCCGCUGCAUUUCUCAUCCAUUUUCAUCUUAAUUCA